Molecule: long non-coding RNA, 677 nt
Organism: Olea europaea var. sylvestris
Lineage: Eukaryota; Viridiplantae; Streptophyta; Magnoliopsida; Lamiales; Oleaceae
Exons: 3
Source: RefSeq, a predicted model, not a curated record
AAAUGGACGGUAUUUGAGAUCCAUUUUGCUUCUUGCCUUUUCAUUUGCUAUUUAAUGUUAUAGCCAUAAUUUAAUUUUAUUUUUUGGUUGUAUGGAUUAGCUUAUCUGAUUUGCUUGUUUUGUGCAACUGCGAAUGGUUGUUGUCCUUUGACUUAGUUUUGAAGAAUGUGAACCUCAGGCUGUGAGGUAACCUGGGAACUGGGAAGGGUAUGUCUGUCUUGGAAAUGGUUGCAGCAUUCGAGAAGGCAUCCGGGAAGAAAAUCCCUAUUGUGAAGGCAGGUCGACGUCCAGGUGAUGCUGAGAUUGUAUAUGCCUCAACGGAAAAAUGCUGAACGAGAGUUGAAGUGGAAGGCAAAAUAUGGCAUUGACGAGAUGUGCCGGGAUCAAUGGAAUUGGGCCAGCAAGAACUUAUAUGGCUACGAGCCUUCGCAGCCGACUAAGUAACUGACGACUGGUUGACAUGUUGACACAUAGAUGCAUGAGAAGGUGCCUUGCCUUUUUUGUAAAAUGGUAAUAAGUGUGCUAUUAUUUUGACUAAAUGAAUUUACCUCCAUUUUCCGAGGUGAAGAAAGUUGUUUUAUGGUAAUGUUCUGCUUCGAUGCUCUACGAGGUCAAGCAAACAUAUUUAUUUGUUAUGCUACAGCUUAUUUUCUUAUUAAGUCUCUGUUUGUUUCUCA